GGAGAGGUGUCCGAGUGGCUUAAGGGCCGCGCUUGGAAAGCGCGUAUAUCCGAAAGGGUAUCGAGGGUUCGAAUCCCUCCCUCUCCG
Molecule: transfer RNA, 87 nt
Filed under: Candidatus Berkelbacteria bacterium
Lineage: Bacteria; Candidatus Berkelbacteria
Description: tRNA-Ser
Rfam family: tRNA
About the family: Transfer RNA (tRNA) molecules are approximately 80 nucleotides in length. Their secondary structure includes four short double-helical elements and three loops (D, anti-codon, and T loops).
Source: RNAcentral